This 253-nucleotide ribosomal RNA is filed under the name uncultured bacterium. RNAcentral's name for it is "partial 16S ribosomal RNA". It matches the Rfam family "Bacterial small subunit ribosomal RNA", at positions 524 to 776 of the family's 1533-position model. The record is from RNAcentral.
UACGUAGGGUGCGAGCGUUAAUCGGAAUUACUGGGCGUAAAGCGUGCGCAGGCGGUUUUGUAAGCCAGAUGUGAAAUCCCCGGGCUUAACCUGGGAAUGGCAUUUGGGACUGCAAGGCUGGAGUGUGGCAGAGGAGACUGGAAUUCCUGGUGUAGCAGUGAAAUGCGCAGAUAUCAGGAGGAACACCGGUGGCGAAGGCGGGUCUCUGGGCCGAUACUGACGCUGAGGAGCGAAAGCGUGGGGAGCGAACAGG